RNAcentral lists this ribosomal RNA (500 nucleotides) under uncultured bacterium. Its description in RNAcentral is "partial 16S ribosomal RNA". It matches the Rfam family "Bacterial small subunit ribosomal RNA", at positions 30 to 523 of the family's 1533-position model. The record is from RNAcentral.
AUUGAACGCUGGCGGAAUGCUUUACACAUGCAAGUCGAACGGCAGCACGGACUUCGGUCUGGUGGCGAGUGGCGAACGGGUGAGUAAUGUAUCGGAACGUGCCCAGUCGUGGGGGAUAACGUAGUGAAAAUUACGCUAAUACCGCAUACGAUCUAUGGAUGAAAGCGGGGGACCGUAAGGCCUCGCGCGAUUGGAGCGGCCGAUAUCAGGUUAGGUAGUUGGUGGGGUAAAGGCUCACCAAGCCGACGAUCUGUAGCUGGUCUGAGAGGACGAGCAGCCACACUGGAACUGAGACACGGUCCAGACUCCUACGGGAGGCAGCAGUGGGGAAUUUUGGACAAUGGGCGCAAGCCUGAUCCAGCCAUUCCGCGUGCAGGAUGAAGGCCCUCGGGUUGUAAACUGCUUUUGUACGGAACGAAAAGGUCCUGGUUAAUACCUGGGGCUCAUGACGGUACCGUAAGAAUAAGCACCGGCUAACUACGUGCCAGCCGCCGCGGUAA